AUUGAACGCUGGCGGCAGGCCUAACACAUGCAAGUCGAACGAGUGGCGGACGGGAGAAUAGUGUCGGGGAAACUGCCUGAUGGAGGGAUAUCACUAGUGGAAACGGUAGAUAAUCCCGCAUAACAUCAGGUGUGCAGAGAUGGGAUUAGAUAGUUGGUGGGGUAACGGCUCACCAAGGCGACGAUCCCUAGCUGGUCUGAGAGGAUGACCAGCCACACUGGAACUGAGACACGGUCCAGACUCCUACGGGAGGCAGCAGUGGGGAAUAUUGCACAAUGGGCGAAAGCCUGAUGCAGCCAUGCCGCGUGUAUGAAGAAGGCCUUCGGGUUGUAAAGUACUUUCAGCGGGGAGGCGUUACCCGCAGAAGAAGCACCGGCUAACUCCGUGCCAGCAGCCGCGGUAAUAC
This 406-nucleotide ribosomal RNA is filed under the name uncultured bacterium. Its description in RNAcentral is "partial 16S ribosomal RNA". It matches the Rfam family "Bacterial small subunit ribosomal RNA", at positions 30 to 526 of the family's 1533-position model. The record is from RNAcentral.